RNAcentral lists this ribosomal RNA (397 nucleotides) under uncultured Glomeromycotina. Its description in RNAcentral is "SSU rRNA". It matches the Rfam family "Eukaryotic small subunit ribosomal RNA", at positions 697 to 1092 of the family's 1831-position model. The record is from RNAcentral. Lineage: Eukaryota; Fungi; Glomeromycota.
CCCUUUCUGACGAACCAUGAUGUCAUUUAUUUGGUGUUGUGGGGAAUCAGGACUGUUACUUUGAAAAAAUUAGAGCGUUUAAAGCAGGCUCACGCUUGAAUACAUUAGCAUGGAAUAAUGAAAUAGGACGUUUGAUUCUAUUUUGUUGGUUUCUAGGAUCGACGUAAUGAUUAAUAGGGAUAGUUGGGGGCAUUAGUAUUCAAUUGUCAGAGGUGAAAUUCUUGGAUUUAUUGAAGACUAACUACUGCGAAAGCAUUUGCCAAGGAUGUUUUCAUUAAUCAAGAACGAAAGUUAGGGGAUCGAAGACGAUCAGAUACCGUCGUAGUCUUAACCAUAAACUAUGCCGACUAGGGAUCGGAUGAUGUUAAUUUUUUAAUGACUCAUUCGGCGCCUUACG